UGGGGAAUAUUGGACAAUGGGCGCAAGCCUGAUCCAGCCAUGCCGCGUGAGUGAAGAAGGCCUUCGGGUUGUAAAGCUCUUUUACCAGGGACGAUAAUGACGGUACCUGGAGAAUAAGCCCCGGCAAACUUCGUGCCAGCAGCCGCGGUAAUACGAAGGGGGCUAGCGUUGUUCGGAAUUACUGGGCGUAAAGCGCACGUAGGCGGAUUGUUAAGUCAGAGGUGAAAUCCCGGAGCUCAACUUCGGAACUGCCUUUGAUACUGGCAAUCUAGAGUCCGGAAGAGGUUAGUGGAAUUCCCAGUGUAGAGGUGAAAUUCGUAGAUAUUGGGAAGAACACCAGUGGCGAAGGCGGCUAACUGGUCCGGUACUGACGCUGAGGUGCGAAAGCGUGGGGAGCAAACAGGAUUAGAUACCCGUGUAGUCCCUGAGCGGGCUGGCAAGGCGCAU
RNAcentral lists this ribosomal RNA (447 nucleotides) under uncultured bacterium. RNAcentral describes it as "bacterial SSU rRNA". It matches the Rfam family "Bacterial small subunit ribosomal RNA", at positions 355 to 825 of the family's 1533-position model. The record is from RNAcentral.